RNAcentral lists this ribosomal RNA (403 nucleotides) under Hirondellea sp. n. DZMB 2021_0092. Its description in RNAcentral is "partial 16S ribosomal RNA". The record is from RNAcentral. Lineage: Eukaryota; Metazoa; Arthropoda; Malacostraca; Amphipoda; Lysianassidae.
UAGCAUAAUCAUUUGGUUUUUAAUUGAGAUCUGGAAUGAAAGGUUUUACAAUGGUUAUUGUCUUAGUUUUAAGGUUUGAAUUUUUAUUUUGAAUUAAAAUAUUUAAAUAUUAUAAAGGGACGAUAAGACCCUAAAAGUUUUAUUGGGUUUUUUUUGUUUAGAUUUUAAAAGAAAAUUAGCUGGGGUAGUUGUUUUAUUAAAACUAAGAUUAAAUUUAGCUUUAGGUUGAUGGUCCUUUAGAUUAAGAUAGUUAGAUAGAGUUACUUUAGGGAUAACAGCGUAAUAGUUUUGGAGAGACCAUAUUUAUAGAAUUGAUUGCGACCUCGAUGUUGAAUUAAAGUAACCUACCUAGUAGAUGAGGUAGUGACAGGUUUGUUCAGCCUUUAGUGUAUUUACAUGAUUU